UUAAGUUCAGCGGGUAUUCCUACCUGAUCCGAGGUCAACCUUAGUUAAAGAUGGGGUCUUUAACGGCAGGAGCACCGCCGCAACGUCCGUAGCGAGAUAGUGAAUUACUACGCUCGGAGUUGUAGCGAGCCCGCCACUUCCUUCAGGCCGUACGGCAGCCGUAGGGCCCCAACACCAAGCAGGGCUUGAGGGUUGAAAUG
RNAcentral lists this unclassified non-coding RNA (200 nucleotides) under Coniochaeta sp. RNAcentral's name for it is "partial internal transcribed spacer 2". The record is from RNAcentral. Lineage: Eukaryota; Fungi; Ascomycota; Sordariomycetes; Coniochaetales; Coniochaetaceae.